Molecule: transfer RNA, 51 nt
Filed under: Dendropsophus parviceps (Sarayacu treefrog)
Lineage: Eukaryota; Metazoa; Chordata; Amphibia; Anura; Hylidae
Description: partial tRNA-Gln
Source: RNAcentral
GUAGGAAUCGAACCUACACCUAAGAGAUCAAAACUCUCCGUAAUUCCAUUU